RNAcentral lists this ribosomal RNA (253 nucleotides) under uncultured bacterium. RNAcentral's name for it is "partial 16S ribosomal RNA". It matches the Rfam family "Bacterial small subunit ribosomal RNA", at positions 524 to 776 of the family's 1533-position model. The record is from RNAcentral.
UACGUAGGGUGCGAGCGUUGUCCGGAAUUAUUGGGCGUAAAGGGCUCGUAGGCGGUCUGUUACGUCGGGGGUGAAAACUCGGGGCUCAACCCCGAGCCUGCUUCCGAUACGGGCAGACUAGAGGUAUGCAGGGGAGAAUGGAAUUCCUGGUGUAGCGGUGAAAUGCGCAGAUAUCAGGAGGAACACCGGUGGCGAAGGCGGUUCUCUGGGCAUUACCUGACGCUGAGGAGCGAAAGCGUGGGGAGCGAACAGG